GUGAAUCAUCGAAUCUUUGAACGCAAAUUGCACUCUCCUCUGAGAGUAUGCCUGUUUGAGGUUCAGCCUCUAAAAAAUCGACAUCCUUGCUGUUUCGCGGUGUCUUUCGUCGGCAAUUGGGUCAUCUUAAAUCCUUUUGUUUUAAUCGCCUUAAAAUUUUCUUUUUGUUCCUUGAGCGUUUCUAUGAUCUAUUUCUUUACACGUUUAAGGUAUCGAUUUUUCCUAGACGUUACCAUCAUAUCGGA
This 245-nucleotide unclassified non-coding RNA is filed under the name Glomus sp. RNAcentral describes it as "partial contains 5.8S ribosomal RNA and internal transcribed spacer 2". The stretch from base 1 to 65 matches the Rfam family "5.8S ribosomal RNA", at positions 84 to 154 of the family's 154-position model. The record is from RNAcentral. Lineage: Eukaryota; Fungi; Glomeromycota; Glomeromycetes; Glomerales; Glomeraceae.